ACUCCUACGGGAGGCAGCAGUGGGGAAUAUUGCACAAUGGGGGAACCCGUGCAUGCAGCCAUGCCGCGUGUGUGAAGAAGGCCUUCGGGUUGUAAAGCACUUUCAGUAGGGAGGAAGGUAGUGUAGUUAACAUCUGCACUAUUUUGACGUUACCUACAGAAGAAGCACCGGCUAACUCCGUGCCAGCAGCCGCGGUAAUACGGAGGGUGCGAGCGUUAAUCGGAAUUACUGGGCG
This 235-nucleotide ribosomal RNA is filed under the name uncultured bacterium. RNAcentral describes it as "partial 16S ribosomal RNA". It matches the Rfam family "Bacterial small subunit ribosomal RNA", at positions 335 to 560 of the family's 1533-position model. The record is from RNAcentral.